AUUGAACGCUGGCGGCAGGCCUAACACAUGCAAGUCGAGCGGCAGCGGGACCUUCGGGUUGCCGGCGAGCGGCGGACGGGUGAGUAAUGCCUAGGAAUCUGCCUGUUAGUGGUGGAUAACGCGGGGAAACUCGCGCUAAUACCGCAUACGUCCUACGGGAGAAAGCGGGGGCUCUUCGGACCUCGCGCUAACAGAUGAGCCUAGGUCGGAUUAGCGAGUUGGUGGGGUAAUGGCCCACCAAGGCGACGAUCCGUAACUGGGCUGAGAGGAUGAUCAGUCACACUGGAACUGAGACACGGUCCAGACUCCUACGGGAGGCAGCAGUGGGGAAUAUUGGACAAUGGGCGAAAGCCUGAUCCAGCCAUGCCGCGUGUGUGAAGAAGGUCUUCGGAUUGUAAAGCACUUUAAGUCGGGAGGAAGGGCUGUAGGCUAAUACCUUGCAGUUUUGACGUUACCGACAGAAUAAGCACCGGCUAACUUCGUGACAGCAGCCGCAGUAA
Molecule: ribosomal RNA, 500 nt
Filed under: uncultured bacterium
Lineage: Bacteria
Description: partial 16S ribosomal RNA
Rfam family: Bacterial small subunit ribosomal RNA
Source: RNAcentral